ACCUUAAUAGUUUAAAAAAACCCUGGUCUUGUAAAUCAGAAAUAAGAUUAGUCUUUUAAGGU
Molecule: transfer RNA, 62 nt
Filed under: Triops longicaudatus
Lineage: Eukaryota; Metazoa; Arthropoda; Branchiopoda; Notostraca; Triopsidae
Description: tRNA-Thr
Rfam family: tRNA
About the family: Transfer RNA (tRNA) molecules are approximately 80 nucleotides in length. Their secondary structure includes four short double-helical elements and three loops (D, anti-codon, and T loops).
Source: RNAcentral